GAUUACCUGGUUGAUCCUGCCAGUAGUCAUAUGCUUGUCUACAAAGACUAAGCCAUGCAUGUGUUAGUAUGAACUGAAUUUAUAUAGUGAAACUGCGAAUGGCUCAUUACAUCAGUUAUAGUUUAUUUGAUAGAUACGCGUUCAGCACUACAUGGAUACCUGUAGUAACAUAGAGCUAAUACAUGCAUAAGAAUCUGACUUUACAGAAGGAUUUGCACUUAUUAGAUACCAAACCAAUAUCCUCUCGGGGAUUUAUUAGGUGAAUCACAAUAACUGAACAAAUCGCAUAGUCUUGCACUGGCGAUGUAUCAAUCAAGUUUCUGCCCUAUCAACUUGAUGUUAGUGUAUUGUACUAACAUGGUUUUUACGGGUAACAGAGGAUUAGGGUUCGAUCCUGGAGAAGGAGCAUGAGAAAUGGCUACUAUUUCUAAGGAAAGCAGCAGGCGC
RNAcentral lists this ribosomal RNA (447 nucleotides) under uncultured eukaryote. Its description in RNAcentral is "bacterial SSU rRNA". It matches the Rfam family "Eukaryotic small subunit ribosomal RNA", at positions 1 to 435 of the family's 1831-position model. The record is from RNAcentral.